Molecule: ribosomal RNA, 524 nt
Filed under: uncultured bacterium
Lineage: Bacteria
Description: bacterial SSU rRNA
Rfam family: Bacterial small subunit ribosomal RNA
Source: RNAcentral
CCCUGACCGAGCAACGCCGCGUGGAGGAUGACGGUUUUCGGAUUGUAAACUCCUUUUUCUCAGGGAAGAGCGAGGACGGUACCUGGGGAAUAAGUCACGGCUAACUACGUGCCAGCAGCCGCGGUAAUACGUAGGUGGCAAGCGUUAUCCGGAAUUACUGGGCGUAAAGCGCACGCAGGUGGCUGCUUAAGUCUGACGUGAAAGCUCCUGGCUUAACUGGGAGAGGUCGUUGGAGACUGGGCGGCUUGAGGCGAGGAGAGGGGUGUAGAAUUCCCGGUGUAGUGGUGGAAUGCGUAGAGAUCGGGAGGAAUACCAGUGGCGAAAGCGGCACCCUGGCCUUGGCCUGACGCUCAGGUGCGAAAGCGUGGGGAGCGAACGGGAUUAGAUACCCCGGUAGUCCACGCGGUAAACGAUGAAUACUAGGUGUAGGUGGUCUCAAAACUAUCUGUACCGCAGCUAACGCGAUAAGUAUUCCGCCUGGGGAGUACGACCGCAAGGUUAAAACUCAAAGGAAUUGACGGGGG